RNAcentral lists this ribosomal RNA (495 nucleotides) under uncultured bacterium. RNAcentral describes it as "partial 16S ribosomal RNA". It matches the Rfam family "Bacterial small subunit ribosomal RNA", at positions 28 to 507 of the family's 1533-position model. The record is from RNAcentral.
GACGAACGCUGGCGGCGUGCCUAAUACAUGCAAGUCGAACGCUGAAGGAGGAGCUUGCUUCUCUGGAUGAGUUGCGAACGGGUGAGUAACGCGUAGGUAACCUGCCUGGUAGCGGGGGAUAACUAUUGGAAACGAUAGCUAAUACCGCAUAAGAGUAGAUGUCGCAUGACAUUUGCUUAAAAGGUGCAAUUGCAUCACUACCAGAUGGACCUGCGUUGUAUUAGCUAGUUGGUGAGGUAACGGCUCACCAAGGCAACGAUACAUAGCCGACCUGAGAGGGUGAUCGGCCACACUGGGACUGAGACACGGCCCAGACUCCUACGGGAGGCAGCAGUAGGGAAUCUUCGGCAAUGGACGGAAGUCUGACCGAGCAACGCCGCGUGAGUGAAGAAGGUUUUCGGAUCGUAAAGCUCUGUUGUAAGAGAAGAACGAGUGUGAGAGUGGAAAGUUCACACUGUGACGGUAGCUUACCAGAAAGGGACGGCUAACUACGUG